GGAUAGCUCAGGCAGCACAGCAUGAAACUCCUAAUCUCAGCGUUGUGGGUUCGAGCCCCAUGUUGGGCA
Molecule: non-coding RNA, 69 nt
Organism: Podarcis lilfordi (Lilford's wall lizard)
Lineage: Eukaryota; Metazoa; Chordata; Lepidosauria; Squamata; Lacertidae
Source: the annotation of a GenBank genome assembly